GACGAACGCUGGCGGCGUGCUUAACACAUGCAAGUCGAACGGAAAGGCCCUGCUUUUGUGGGGUGCUCGAGGGGCGAACGGGUGAGUAACACGUGAGUAACCUGACCUUGACUUUGGGAUAACUUCAGGAAACUGGGGCUAAUACCGGAUAGGAGCUCCUGCUGCAGGGAGGGGGUUGGAAAGUUUCGGCGGUUGGGGAUGGACUCGCGGCUUAUCAGCUUGUUGGUGGGGUAGGGGCUUACCCAGGCUUUGGCGGGUAGCCGGCCUGAGAGGGUGACCGGCCACAUUGGGACUGAGGUACGGCCCAGACUCCUACGGGAGGCAGCAGUGGGGAAUAUUGCCCAAUGGGCGGAAGCCUGAUGCAGCAACGCCGCGUGCGGGAUGACGGCCUUCGGGUUGUAAACCGCUUUCGCCUGUGACGAAGCGUGAGUGACGGUAAUGGGUAAAGAAGCACCGGCUAACUACGUG
Molecule: ribosomal RNA, 468 nt
Filed under: uncultured bacterium
Lineage: Bacteria
Description: partial 16S ribosomal RNA
Rfam family: Bacterial small subunit ribosomal RNA
Source: RNAcentral